ACGCAGGAAGCCGAAAAUGCGAUUUCAGAGUAGGCA
Regulatory RNA element from Epilithonimonas sp., 36 nucleotides. It matches the Rfam family "DUF805b RNA". Rfam says of the family: Bacteroidetes, Chlorobi (1 example), Proteobacteria. Lineage (Flavobacteria) The record is from Rfam. Lineage: Bacteria; Pseudomonadati; Bacteroidota; Flavobacteriia; Flavobacteriales; Weeksellaceae.